RNAcentral lists this ribosomal RNA (355 nucleotides) under uncultured bacterium. Its description in RNAcentral is "bacterial SSU rRNA". It matches the Rfam family "Bacterial small subunit ribosomal RNA", at positions 9 to 353 of the family's 1533-position model. The record is from RNAcentral.
GAGUUUGAUCGUGGCUCAGGACGAACGCUGGCGGCGUGCCUAAUACAUGCAAGUAGAACGCUGAAGGAGGGAGCUUGCUUCUUCUGGAUGAGUUGCGAACGGGUGAGUAACGCGUAGGUAACCUGCCUGAUAGCGGGGGAUAACUAUUGGAAACGAUAGCUAAUACCGCAUAAGAGGUAAUAACACAUGUUAUUGGUUUAAAAAGGGGCAACUGCUCCACUAUCAGAUGGACCUGCGUUGUAUUAGCUAGUUGGUAAGGUAACGGCCCACCAAGGCGACGAUCAGUAGCCGGUCUGAGAGGAUGAACGGCCACAUUGGGACUGAGAUACGGCCCAGACUCCUACGGGAGGCAGCA